RNAcentral lists this long non-coding RNA (611 nucleotides) under Homo sapiens (human). RNAcentral's name for it is "HSALNT0252279". The record is from RNAcentral. Lineage: Eukaryota; Metazoa; Chordata; Mammalia; Primates; Hominidae.
CGUGCUUCUGUUCUUUAUUUAUCCGAGUUUUCUCCAUUAAAGAUAAAUUCUCUGAUAAGAUAAAUACAGUAUAUAUCUUUAUUAAUUCCUUUGUUAUAGAUCCUGCAAAUACCUUCUCGAGGCCUGUUUUUUCCUCUCUAACGUUGAUGGGGUAUGUUUUGUUAUAAAGAUGUUUUCUGUUCUGCAGGGUUGCGUGUCAGUUACAGUUGUCAUUUGUAAGCAGUAGAAUCCGGUCUGACCAGUUUAAGCAGAAAAGAACUUAGGAGAGACAGAAGGGAGUUCACACAACGUUUGGGACAGAUGGGAAAAGAGGCCUGAGACAAUGAAAGGGACACUCCCAGAACCAACUGACCCUUUCCGGAAUCUGCUGCCCACCCCGGGACCACACCGCCUUUGCCCAGAAUGCGCCACUGAAAUGACAGCGGCUCCCGGAGACGCGCAGCCAGCCAGCUCCCUCCCGCGGCCCGAGGCCCCCGUGUCUGAUUGGCAGGCCUGGUCACGUGCCCGCAUUUUGGCUGGGAAAGAGUCAGGGAAGGCACCGAUUCAGAUUCUCCCUUGGGGAAACAACUAAAAUGCACGCAAGGUGGCCUAAAAAGCUUGGCAGAUUCACU